CCCUUAGAUGUUCUGGGCCGCACACGCGCUACACUGAAGGAGGCAGCGUGUACUCCUGGAUCGAAAGAUUUGGGUAACCCGCGAAUCUCCUUCGUGCUAGGGAUUGAGGUUUGCAAUUAUCCUUCAUGAACGAGGAAUUCCCAGUAAGUGCAAGUCAUAAGCUUGCGCUGACUACGUCCCUGCCCUUUGUACACACCGCCCGUCGCUACUACCAAUUGAAUGAUUUAGUGAGGACUUCGGACUGGGACCGAUGCGGCUUUCGGGCUGCGUCGGUAUUCUGGAAAGAUGUCCAAACUGUAUCAUUUAGAGGAAGUAAAAGUCGUANCA
Molecule: ribosomal RNA, 327 nt
Filed under: uncultured eukaryote
Lineage: Eukaryota
Description: partial 18S ribosomal RNA
Rfam family: Eukaryotic small subunit ribosomal RNA
Source: RNAcentral